Molecule: ribosomal RNA, 1355 nt
Filed under: uncultured bacterium
Lineage: Bacteria
Description: bacterial SSU rRNA
Rfam family: Bacterial small subunit ribosomal RNA
Source: RNAcentral
AUUGAACGCUGGCGGCAGGCUUAACACAUGCAAGUCGAACGAUGAUUAUCUAGCUUGCUAGAUAUGAUUAGUGGCGGACGGGUGAGUAACAUUUAGGAAUCUGCCUAGUAGUGGGGGAUAGCUCGGGGAAACUCGAAUUAAUACCGCAUACGACCUACGGGUGAAAGGGGGCGCAAGCUCUUGCUAUUAGAUGAGCCUAAAUCAGAUUAGCUAGUUGGUGGGGUAAAGGCCCACCAAGGCGACGAUCUGUAACUGGUCUGAGAGGAUGAUCAGUCACACCGGAACUGAGACACGGUCCGGACUCCUACGGGAGGCAGCAGUGGGGAAUAUUGGACAAUGGGGGCAACCCUGAUCCAGCCAUGCCGCGUGUGUGAAGAAGGCCUUUUGGUUGUAAAGCACUUUAAGCAGGGAGGAGAGACUAAUGGUUAAUACCCAUUAGAUUAGACGUUACCUGCAGAAUAAGCACCGGCUAACUCUGUGCCAGCAGCCGCGGUAAUACAGAGGGUGCGAGCGUUAAUCGGAAUUACUGGGCGUAAAGCGAGUGUAGGUGGCUCAUUAAGUCAUAUGUGAAAUCCCCGGGCUUAACCUGGGAACUGCAUGUGAUACUGGUGGUGCUAGAAUAUGUGAGAGGGAAGUAGAAUUCCAGGUGUAGCGGUGAAAUGCGUAGAGAUCUGGAGGAAUACCGAUGGCGAAGGCAGCUUCCUGGCAUAAUAUUGACACUGAGAUUCGAAAGCGUGGGUAGCAAACAGGAUUAGAUACCCUGGUAGUCCACGCCGUAAACGAUGUCUACUAGCCGUUGGGGUCCUUGAGACUUUAGUGGCGCAGUUAACGCGAUAAGUAGACCGCCUGGGGAGUACGGCCGCAAGGUUAAAACUCAAAUGAAUUGACGGGGGCCCGCACAAGCGGUGGAGCAUGUGGUUUAAUUCGAUGCAACGCGAAGAACCUUACCUGGUCUUGACAUAGUGAGAAUCCUGUAGAGAUGCGGGAGUGCCUUCGGGAAUUCACAUACAGGUGCUGCAUGGCUGUCGUCAGCUCGUGUCGUGAGAUGUUGGGUUAAGUCCCGCAACGAGCGCAACCCUUUUCCUUAUUUGCCAGCGGGUUAAGCCGGGAACUUUAAGGAUACUGCCAGUGACAAACUGGAGGAAGGCGGGGACGACGUCAAGUCAUCAUGGCCCUUACGACCAGGGCUACACACGUGCUACAAUGGUAGGUACAGAGGGUUGCUACACAGCGAUGUGAUGCUAAUCUCAAAAAGCCUAUCGUAGUCCGGAUUGGAGUCUGCAACUCGACUCCAUGAAGUCGGAAUCGCUAGUAAUCGCAGAUCAGAACGCUGCGGUGAAUACGUUCCCGGGCCU